This 381-nucleotide ribosomal RNA is filed under the name uncultured eukaryote. Its description in RNAcentral is "partial 18S ribosomal RNA". It matches the Rfam family "Eukaryotic small subunit ribosomal RNA", at positions 592 to 976 of the family's 1831-position model. The record is from RNAcentral.
CAAUAGCGUAUAUUAAAGCUGUUGCGGUUAAAAAGCUCGUAGUUGGAUUUCUGUCAAGGACAACUGGUCCGCCCCUCGGGUGAGCACAUAGUUUGGUCUUGGCAUCUUGUUGGAAACUGUUGCUGCACUUGGUUGUGUGGCGCAGUGUCCAGCACUUUCACUUUGAGGAAAUUGGAGUGUUUCAAGCAGGCACAUGCCUUUGGACACAGUAGCAUGGAAUAAUUAGAUUGGGCGUUUGCUCCAACUUGUCGGUUUCUGGAGCUGAGGUGAGAAUUAAUGGGGAUUGUUGGGGGCAUCCGAAUUUAGCCGUCAGAGGUGAAAUUCUUGGAUCUGCUAAAGACGGACAACUGCGAAAGCGUUUGCCCAGGAUGUUUUCAUUGA